AGGAGGGCCAAAGUUGAAAUAGCACUGCUGCAAGAACCUUAUGCAUGGAGAAACCGGGUGGCAGGCCUGGGACAUCUGGGGGGAGCUCUGUACUAUGAAGGAAAUGAGACCUUGUCGUGGUGGAGACCUACUUCAUCAAUGACGAAGGGAAGAGAUGCAAGGUGGCGCUGGCGUCCUGCUAUCAGCCGGGCGACGCAGAGACACCUACAAAGGAAUUGGAAGAAACGGUUCUGAGGUAUAGAGGAAAACAAGAAGAUUUGAGGAGAGAAGUGUGGGAGGGCAGCCGGGACAGUAACCUGCAGCU
Molecule: long non-coding RNA, 304 nt
Organism: Leguminivora glycinivorella
Lineage: Eukaryota; Metazoa; Arthropoda; Insecta; Lepidoptera; Tortricidae
Exons: 3
Source: RefSeq, a predicted model, not a curated record